CCUACGGGAGGCAGCAGUGGGGGAUAUUGCACAAUGGGGGGAACCCUGAUGCAGCGACGCCGCGUGGGUGAAGAAGCGCCUCGGCGCGUAAAGCCCUGUCGGCAGGGAUGAAAAUGACGGUACCUGACAAAGAAGCCCCGGCUAACUACGUGCCAGCAGCCGCGGUAAUACGUAGGGGGCAAGCGUUAUCCGGAUUUACUGGGUGUAAAGGGGGCGCAGCCGGCGAUGCAGGCCAGGAGUGAAAGCCCGGGGCCCAACCCCGGGACUGCUCUUGGAACUGCGUGGCUGGAGUACAGGAGGGGCAGGCGGAAUUCCUGGUGUAGCGGUGAAAUGCGUAGAUAUUAGGAGGAACACCGGUGGCGAAGGCGGUCUGCUGGACUGUAACUGACGUUGAGGCCCGAAGGCGUGGGGAGCAAACAGGAUUAGAUACCCCUGUAGUC
Molecule: ribosomal RNA, 440 nt
Filed under: uncultured bacterium
Lineage: Bacteria
Description: partial 16S ribosomal RNA
Rfam family: Bacterial small subunit ribosomal RNA
Source: RNAcentral